CAUGGCUCAGGACGAACGCUGGCGGCGUGCCUAAUACAUGCAAGUCGGACGGCAGCACAGAGAAGCUUGCUCUUCUGGAUGAGUUGCGAACGGGUGAGUAACGCGUAGGUAACCUGCCUGGUAGCGGGGGAUAACUAUUGGAAACGAUAGCUAAUACCGCAUAACAGUAGAUAUCGCAUGAUAUUUGCUUGAAAGGUGCAAUUGCACCACUACCAGAUGGACCUGCGUUGUAUUAGCUAGUUGGUGAGGUAACGGCUCACCAAGGCAACGAUACAUAGCCGACCUGAGAGGGUGAUCGGCCACACUGGGACUGAGACACGGCCCAGACUCCUACGG
Molecule: ribosomal RNA, 336 nt
Filed under: uncultured bacterium
Lineage: Bacteria
Description: bacterial SSU rRNA
Rfam family: Bacterial small subunit ribosomal RNA
Source: RNAcentral